RNAcentral lists this ribosomal RNA (301 nucleotides) under uncultured bacterium. RNAcentral's name for it is "partial 16S ribosomal RNA". It matches the Rfam family "Bacterial small subunit ribosomal RNA", at positions 509 to 809 of the family's 1533-position model. The record is from RNAcentral.
CAGUAGCCGCGGUAAUACGAAGGGUGCAAGCGUUAAUCGGAAUUACUGGGCGUAAAGGGUGGGUAGGCGGUGAGUUAAGUCUGUUGUGAAAUCCCCGGGCUCAACCUGGGAAUGGCAAUGGAUACUGGCUCGCUAGAGUGUGAUAGAGGAUGGUGGAAUUCCCGGUGUAGCGGUGAAAUGCGUAGAGAUCGGGAGGAACAUCAGUGGCGAAGGCGGCCAUCUGGAUCAACACUGACGCUGAAGCACGAAAGCGUGGGGAGCAAACAGGAUUAGAUACCCCUGUAGUCCCUGUCUCUUAUAA